UACGUGAACCUGCGGAAGGAUCAUUACAAGUGAGGCUACCGAACGUUGGAAACAGCGGUUAGGAGCUUACACCCACCCGUGUUUACAUACUAUUGGUGCUUUGGCGGGCCGUGGCCUCCACUGCGGGCUCUGCUCGUGUGUGCCCGCAGAGAACCAAACUCUGAAUGUUAGUGAUGUCUGAGUACUAUAUAAUAGUUAAAACUUUCAACAACGGAUCUCUUGGUUCUGGCAUCGAUGAAGAACGCAGCGAAAUGCGAUAAGUAAUGUGAAUUGCAGAAUUCAAGUGAAUCAUCGAAUCUUUGAACGCACAUUGCGCCCUGUGGUAUUCCGCAGGGCAUGCCUGUUCGAGCGUCAUUUAACCACUCACGCCUAGCGUGGUAUUGGGGCACGCGGGUCUCCGCGGCCCUCAAAAUUAGUGGCGGCGCCGGUGGGCUCUAAGCGUAGUACAUACUCCCGCUAUAGAGUUCCCCCGGGGCUCGCCAGAACCCCCAAUUUUUACAGGUUGAC
This 507-nucleotide ribosomal RNA is filed under the name uncultured fungus. RNAcentral's name for it is "eukaryotic LSU rRNA". The stretch from base 200 to 354 matches the Rfam family "5.8S ribosomal RNA". The record is from RNAcentral. Lineage: Eukaryota; Fungi.